UACGUAGGGGGCAAGCGUUAUCCGGAAUUACUGGGUGUAAAGGGAGCGUAGACGGUAAUGUAAGUCUGGAGUGAAAGGCAGGGGCCCAACCCCCGGACUGCUCUGGAAACUAUGUUACUAGAGUGCAGGAGAGGUAAGCGGAAUUCCUAGUGUAGCGGUGAAAUGCGUAGAUAUUAGGAGGAACACCAGUGGCGAAGGCGGCUUACUGGACUGUAACUGACGUUGAGGCUCGAAAGCGUGGGGAGCAAACAGG
This 253-nucleotide ribosomal RNA is filed under the name uncultured bacterium. RNAcentral's name for it is "partial 16S ribosomal RNA". It matches the Rfam family "Bacterial small subunit ribosomal RNA", at positions 524 to 776 of the family's 1533-position model. The record is from RNAcentral.